GACGAACGCUGGCGGCGUGCUUAACACAUGCAAGUCGAACGGAAAGGCCCUGCUUUUGUGGGGUGCUCGAGUGGCGAACGGGUGAGUAACACGUGAGUAACCUGCCCUUGACUUUGGGAUAACUUCAGGAAACUGGGGCUAAUACCGGAUAGGAGCUCCUGCUGCAUGGUGGGGGUUGGAAAGUUUCGGCGGUUGGGGAUGGACUCGCGGCUUAUCAGCUUGUUGGUGGGGUAGUGGCUUACCAAGGCUUUGACGGGUAGCCGGCCUGAGAGGGUGACCGGCCACAUGGGGACUGAGAGACGGCCCAGACUCCUACGGGAGGCAGCAGGGGGGAAUAUUGCACAAUGGGCGGAAGCCUGAUGCGGCAACGCCGCGUGCGGGAUGACGGCCUUCGGGUUGUAAACCGCUUUCGCCUGUGACGAAGCGUGAGUGACGGUAAUGGGUAAAGAAGCACCGGCUAACUACGUG
RNAcentral lists this ribosomal RNA (468 nucleotides) under uncultured bacterium. RNAcentral describes it as "partial 16S ribosomal RNA". It matches the Rfam family "Bacterial small subunit ribosomal RNA", at positions 28 to 507 of the family's 1533-position model. The record is from RNAcentral.